GACGAACGCUGGCGGCGUGCUUAACACAUGCAAGUCGAGCGGUAAGGCCCUUUCGGGGGUACACGAGCGGCGAACGGGUGAGUAACACGUGGGUGACCUGCCCUUAGCUCUGGGAUAAGCCUGGGAAACUGGGUCUAAUACCGGAUAUGACUCCAUGACGCAUGUUGUGGGGUGGAAAGCCUUGUGCGGCUAGGGGAUGGGCCCGCGGCCUAUCAGCUUGUUGGUGGGGUGAUGGCCUACCAAGGCGACGACGGGUAGCCGGCCUGAGAGGGCGACCGGCCACACUGGGACUGAGACACGGCCCAGACUCCUACGGGAGGCAGCAGUGGGGAAUCUUGCGCAAUGGGCGAAAGCCUGACGCAGCGACGCCGCGUGAGGAUGAC
RNAcentral lists this ribosomal RNA (383 nucleotides) under uncultured bacterium. RNAcentral's name for it is "bacterial SSU rRNA". It matches the Rfam family "Bacterial small subunit ribosomal RNA", at positions 28 to 412 of the family's 1533-position model. The record is from RNAcentral.